AUACGUAGGGGGCAAGCGUUGUCCGGAAUUAUUGGGCGUAAAGCGCGCGCAGGCGGUCUUUUAAGUCUGGUGUCUAAGUGCGGGGCUCAACCCCGUGAUGCACUGGAAACUGGGAGACUUGAGUGCAGGAGAGGAAAGCGGAAUUCCACGGUGUAGCGGUGAAAUGCGUAGAGAUGUGGAGGAACACCAGUGGCGAAGGCGGCUUUCUGGACUGUAACUGACGCUGAGGCGCGAAAGCGUGGGGGGCAAACAGGAUUAGAUACCCUGGUAGUCCACGCCGUAAACGAUGAGUGCUAGGUGUUGGGGGGAUCGCCCCCUCGGUGCCGAAGUCAACACAUUAAGCACUCCGCCUGGGGAGUACGGUCGCAAGACUGAA
This 376-nucleotide ribosomal RNA is filed under the name uncultured bacterium. RNAcentral's name for it is "bacterial SSU rRNA". It matches the Rfam family "Bacterial small subunit ribosomal RNA", at positions 523 to 898 of the family's 1533-position model. The record is from RNAcentral.